UCCAAGUGGGGACUAUACAGCCGAAAGGUGU
This 31-nucleotide non-coding RNA is filed under the name Homo sapiens (human). The record is from RNAcentral. Lineage: Eukaryota; Metazoa; Chordata; Mammalia; Primates; Hominidae.